Molecule: long non-coding RNA, 210 nt
Filed under: Elaeis guineensis (African oil palm)
Lineage: Eukaryota; Viridiplantae; Streptophyta; Magnoliopsida; Arecales; Arecaceae
Description: long non-coding RNA (EGUI_LNC001160)
Source: RNAcentral
AGUCAAAGAGAGGUAAUACUACCAUCCGGGCUUUAUUACAUUCAGAACAGAAAAUUACAGUGGAACAAAGGACUUACAGCAGAGUUACAGGAGGUUUUUAGAACCAACGAAAACACAACAGCAGACUCUAAAGUAGAACAGAGCAGAGGCAAAGCAGAAAAUAAGAGAAAAUAUGGAGGUUUUUUUGUUCUUUAUAUUCCAUUUCUCUUG